Molecule: ribosomal RNA, 320 nt
Filed under: uncultured Montagnulaceae
Lineage: Eukaryota; Fungi; Ascomycota; Dothideomycetes; Pleosporales; Didymosphaeriaceae
Description: partial 18S ribosomal RNA
Rfam family: Eukaryotic small subunit ribosomal RNA
Source: RNAcentral
UGUUCUGGGNCGCACGCGCGCUACACUGACCNCANNNNAAAGAGUUCUUUCCCUUGGCCGGAAGGGCUGGGUAAUCUUGUNAAACUCUGNCGUGCUGGGGAUAGAGCNNNGCAAUUAUUGCUCUUCNACGAGGAAUGCCUAGUAAGCGCGNGUCAUCAGCACGCGUUGAUUACGUCCCUGCCCUUUGUACACUCCGCCCGUCGCUACUACCGAUUGAAUGGCUCAGUGAGGCCUUCGGACUGGCUCGAGGAGGUUGGCAACGACCACCUCNAGCCGGAAAGUUGGUCAAACUCGGUCAUUUAGAGGAAGUAAAAGAUCGU